AGAGUUUGAUCAUGGCUCAGAAUCAACGCUGGCGGCGUGCCUAACACAUGCAAGUCGAACGCGAAAGCCCCGCAAGGGGUAAGUAGAGUGGCAAACGGGUGAGUAACACGUGGGUGACCUGCCUCAGAGUGGGGGAUAACGACCCGAAAGGGUCGCUAAUACCGCAUAACAUCCUGCGCUUGGAAGCGCGGAGAUCAAAGUCGGGGAUCGCAAGACCUGGCGCUCAGAGAGGGGCCCGCGGCCGAUUAGCUAGUUGGUAGGGUAAUGGCCUACCAAGGCAACGAUCGGUAUCCGGCCUGAGAGGGCGGACGGACACACUGGGACUGAGACACGGCCCAGACUCCUACGGGAGGCAGCAGUGGGGAAUUGUUCGCAAUGGGCGCAAGCCUGACGACGCAACGCCGCGUGGAGGACGAAGAUCUUCGGGUCGUAAACUCCUUUCGAUCGGGAAGAACGCCUUCCGGGUGAACAAUCCGGAAGGGUGACGGUACCGAGAGAAGAAGCCCCGGCUAACUCCGUGCCAGCAGCCGCGGUAAUUC
RNAcentral lists this ribosomal RNA (539 nucleotides) under uncultured bacterium. RNAcentral describes it as "bacterial SSU rRNA". It matches the Rfam family "Bacterial small subunit ribosomal RNA", at positions 8 to 526 of the family's 1533-position model. The record is from RNAcentral.